This 468-nucleotide ribosomal RNA is filed under the name uncultured bacterium. Its description in RNAcentral is "partial 16S ribosomal RNA". It matches the Rfam family "Bacterial small subunit ribosomal RNA", at positions 28 to 507 of the family's 1533-position model. The record is from RNAcentral.
GACGAACGCUGGCGGCGUGCUUAACACAUGCAAGUCGAACGGAAAGGCCCUGCUUUUGUGGGGUUCUCGAGUGGCGAACGGGUGAGUAACACGUGAGUAACCUGCCCUUGACUUUGGGAUAACUUCAGGAAACUGGGGCUAAUACCGGAUAGGAGCUCCUGCUGCAUGGUGGGGGUUGGAACGUUUCGGCGGUUGGGGAUGGACUCGCGGCUUAUCAGCUUGUUGGUGGGGUAGUGGCUUACCAAGGCUUUGACGGGUAGCCGGCCUGGGAGGGUGACCGGCGACAUUGGGACUGAGAGACGGCCCAGACGCCAACGGGGGGCAGCAGGGGGGAAUAUUACACAGUGGGCGGAAGCCUGAGGAGGAAACCCCGGGUGCGGGAUGACGGCUUUCGGGUGAUAAACCGCUUUCGCCUGUGACGAAGCGUGAGUGACGGUAAUGGGUAAAGAAGCACCGGCUAACUACGUG